This 429-nucleotide ribosomal RNA is filed under the name Chloroflexota bacterium. RNAcentral's name for it is "Chloroflexi bacterium partial 16S ribosomal RNA". It matches the Rfam family "Bacterial small subunit ribosomal RNA", at positions 355 to 776 of the family's 1533-position model. The record is from RNAcentral. Lineage: Bacteria; Bacillati; Chloroflexota.
UGGGGAAUAUUGCACAAUGGGCGCAAGCCUGAUGCAGCCAUGCCGCGUGUAUGAAGAAGGCCUUCGGGUUGUAAAGUACUUUCAGCGGGGAGGAAGGGAGUAAAGUUAAUACCUUUGCUCAUUGACGUUACCCGCAGAAGAAGCACCGGCUAACUCCGUGCCAGCAGCCGCGGUAAUACGGAGGGUGCAAGCGUUAAUCGGAAUUACUGGGCGUAAAGCGCACGCAGGCGGUUUGUUAAGUCAGAUGUGAAAUCCUCGGGCUCAACCUGGGAACUGCAUCUGAUACUGGCAAGCUUGAGUCUCGGAGAGGGGGGUAGAAUUCCAGGUGUAGCGGUGAAAUGCGUAGAGAUCUGGAGGAAUACCGGUGGCGAAGGCGGCCCCCUGGACGAAGACUGACGCUCAGGUGCGAAAGCGUGGGGAGCAAACAGG